This 263-nucleotide unclassified non-coding RNA is filed under the name Hevea brasiliensis (rubber tree). Lineage: Eukaryota; Viridiplantae; Streptophyta; Magnoliopsida; Malpighiales; Euphorbiaceae. The record is from RNAcentral.
UUCCAAGAAUUUAGUUUAUGCAUUUUAGUUACUUAAUUUGAAUCUAAAAUCUUAAAAUGUAGCUGCAAAAGUAGGUUUGAUUUCUCUAAACUUAUAAGACUAAUUUUAAAUGGUAGUCCAUCCCUUUCUUAGUUAAUCAGGCUAAGAAAUAUGAUAUUUUUAAAAAUAAAGGAGCUAAUAAUUUAUAAAAAGGUCUCAAGGUUUAUACGUAGGCGAUGUAGGAUAAGAGGCUGCAAAGAAUAACCACCUCCACAUAAGCUGUG